GUGAGGCUUCGGCCUUAUCGAGAUAGAACCCUUGCCUUUAUAGUACCUUCUGUUGCCUCGGCAAUGCGUAAUAGCACAGCCAAUGGGGCCAAAAAAUAAACCUUUGUAUUAUAGUCAUAGUCUGAAAAACAAACAAAAAUUAAAACUUUCAACAACGGAUCUCUUGGUUCU
This 171-nucleotide unclassified non-coding RNA is filed under the name rhizosphere metagenome. Its description in RNAcentral is "partial ribosomal RNA internal transcribed spacer region". The record is from RNAcentral.